Molecule: long non-coding RNA, 2137 nt
Organism: Olea europaea var. sylvestris
Lineage: Eukaryota; Viridiplantae; Streptophyta; Magnoliopsida; Lamiales; Oleaceae
Exons: 5
Source: RefSeq, a predicted model, not a curated record
UCUCUCUCUCUCUCUCUCUCCCCCCCGUCUCCCCCACAUACGUUGCUUUACUUUUGGUCUCUCCACAAGCAAAGCAAACCCUAAAAUGAAGAAGAAAGGCAAGACCCUCUUCUUACACACAUGCAUACAUAUGUGUAUGUAUGGCAAAUCGAUCAAGAUUGCCUAUCUUGGGGUUGCUUGUAUUGAGGUGCAGACUGAAGGAAUGAAACCGGAAAUAAAGACUUAUCGCUCGAUGGCCCCUUGGGAGUUUUGGAGUUUGUUUGGUUGGAGACUUUCAGUUCUAUGGGAAAUUUGAGCUUGUUCCUUAAGUGUGCUUUUUUUUCCCCCCUACACGAUGGAACCCUUCACAGCUAUGAAGCCACUGGAUUUGGAGAAGGUUAUUUAUAUUUUGAUUGAUCGUUUAGGGUUCUUGAUUAGUGGCUCUAGCACUUCGAUUGAAAGAAAUGGCUGAGUUUGUUCCAACCUUUCCCUCGAACGCAUUUGUGGCGAAGGCAGCGUUGUGGUGCAACAGGUUUAUAAGAUGCCUCCGUGUUGCCCUUGAGGCUUUACUAUGGAUUUGGUACAAAACUAUUAUCAACUUCGAGCCAUCUCAUGAAUUGUUCGAUGGGAUCCAAACCCCAACAGUAUCUUCAGAAAUGGCCAUUGGUAAUACCACCUCCUCUGCUACAGUUUUGAUCAAAAAUGAAAUGCAAGAUGCUCAUCUCAAAAUUCUCAGCCUUAAUUUGCUAUCUUCCUCUAUUUGUUCAUUUCUUUUCCACUCUACAGCUAACAUUUUUUGUUGGUUUUAUAGACAAUAAUUGCCUAGCAUUUAUAAGCACUCAACUAAUUUGAGGUCGACAGCUAUGAAGGUUUGUCCACGGACUAAUUUCCUACUAUGGUUUUUGUUGUUCAAUAUAUGUUUGUUUAGAUAAACCAAAAUUGGUAACAAUGUUGUCUUUAAAUUCCAGUAAAACAUGUUAGUAUACAUACAGGCAGUUAAAAUUAACCGUAAUUAGUGUGGUUGCUAAAGAUUCUAUUUCAUUAUACUUGUUUUUUCGAUAGUCCUUAUUUCUUCCAGCUACUGGAAUGAUAAUUAAUAAGUUGAGGUGUAGUCCUGGAUGCUUUAACAUUUACGAGAUUUCAUUUUUCGGUUGCAUUAAUUAUUUCAGUUUAUGGUAUCUUUUGCCAUGUUGAAUCAAAUUAUAGUUCUAUUUUAAGUUUUAUUUCAGCACUUGGAACUCUAAGCUUGAGAGGUUUUGUCAUUAGCUUCCCUAAUUGCUUUCCAGAUUAUUGAUGGGGUGAGGGUUUUAUCUUUGCAAAUUGGCCAAAACAAACGCCUAACACAUCAUCUGGGCUUCAUAUUCACGUGCAUAUACCUGUAAGAUGUCACAUUUACUUUAAGAUGCUCAUACUGAAACAUAUUAAUGACCUUUUAGUUAGUCGAUAAGAUUGAAAGAUGUCUUUCUUUAGACAAAUACUUUAAAUUCUUGUUUAUUUUCUCUAACACAAAUGAUUAGAACGUUAACUUCUACAUUCAUUUAUAUUCUAUUAGGAAGCUUUUAUGUUGAGACAAAAAUCAUAUGGGAAUUUGUGGAACUUGAGUGCAAUAUACACGAUAUUUGUAACCUUUUCUUUGUAGUGCUCUCGGAAUCUUGCAACAAAGUUUACUGAAUUUAAGCACUAUACUCAAUCCCAGUAGGUCCAUAUAAGAGUUUAAUUGCUGAAACCAUGUGACACAGUAGACGAUGAUGAGCCAAUUGCUGAGGGUGAAACAAACAAGGUUGAUACUAAGGCACAUCUUUUCAAGGCUAGAUAGAAAUUAUGGAUGGGCAAGGCAGACUUUUCAGCAAGAUUCAUCAACUAUAUGCCGGAGUGGUGACAACAUAUGCAGCUCCCCACAGAUUCAGCUUGUUGGGCACUCAAUUGUAAAUUGUUUCAUUGAGAACUUAAAACUAUGUCGAAUGUAGCACAUUUCCAAUAUCAUGAUAGUUUUAUUCAACCUUGUAUUUUUAUCAUGUAAAACAUUUGUAAUUUUGAGUUCCUUUUGAGGCAUGUGCUAUGAAUCCUUACAAAUCCAUACAGAGGAACGAUGACAUUUUACAUUCAGCAUUUUAUAUGUGCAUGAGUAGUUGUUUUCAAUGCAGUAAUUCAUUUCCUA